Molecule: small RNA, 58 nt
Filed under: Nakaseomyces glabratus CBS 138
Lineage: Eukaryota; Fungi; Ascomycota; Saccharomycetes; Saccharomycetales; Saccharomycetaceae
Description: Candida glabrata sRNA CAGL0I04015r
Source: RNAcentral
AAGGAUGAUGGGGAUAGGAUUACGCUGAAGGAGUAUCAGCAGAGUAGCGAGCUGACUA